GACGAACGCUGGCGGCGUGCUUAACACAUGCAAGUCGAACGCUGAAGCUCAGCUUUUGUUGGGUGGAUGAGGGGCGAACGGGUGAGUAACACGUGAGGAACCUGCCCCCUUCUUUGGGAUAACGCCCGGAAACGGGUGCUAAUACUGGAUAUUCACUGGUCUUCGCAUGGGGGUUGGUGGAAAGGGUUUUUCUGGUGGGGGAUGGGCUCGCGGCCUAUCAGCUUGUUGGUGGGGUGAUGGCCUACCAAGGCUUUGACGGGUAGCCGGCCUGAGAGGGUGACCGGUCACAAUGGGACUGAGAUAGGGCGCAGACUCCUCCGGGGGGCAGCAGUGGGGCAUAUUGCACACUGGGCGAAAGGCUGAUGCAGCGACGCCGCGUGAGGGAUGGGGGCCUUCGGGUUGUGUACCUCUGUCGAGCAUGGUAAAGCCGCCACAAUGGUCGUCGUGAGGGUGGUGGGUAGAGAAGCGCGGGCUAACUACGCG
RNAcentral lists this ribosomal RNA (483 nucleotides) under uncultured bacterium. RNAcentral's name for it is "partial 16S ribosomal RNA". It matches the Rfam family "Bacterial small subunit ribosomal RNA", at positions 28 to 507 of the family's 1533-position model. The record is from RNAcentral.